UAUCCGUAGGUGAACCUGCGGAAGGAUCAUUAUUGUAUAACCGAGGUGCGAGGGCUGUCGCUGACCCGAAAGGUCGUGCACGCCCGAGUGCCCUCACACACAUUCAUCUCACCCCUAUGUGCACCACCGCGUGGGUCCCCCUUUGGCUUGUUCGGAGGGGGGCUUACGUUUUCACACAAACUUUGUAUGCAGUGUAGAAUGUAUUUUUUGUUUUUGCGAUCACGCAAUCAAUACAACUUUCAACAACGGAUCUCUUGGCUCUC
RNAcentral lists this unclassified non-coding RNA (263 nucleotides) under plant metagenome. RNAcentral describes it as "partial contains small subunit ribosomal RNA, internal transcribed spacer 1, and 5.8S ribosomal RNA". The record is from RNAcentral.